Molecule: long non-coding RNA, 1865 nt
Organism: Homo sapiens (human)
Lineage: Eukaryota; Metazoa; Chordata; Mammalia; Primates; Hominidae
Product: long intergenic non-protein coding RNA 1287
Source: Ensembl
GCGCGACUUCCCUGGCCCUCCCCCUGCGGACCAGUGAACCUCGCCCGAGGGCUCAAUAAAGAAGAUUUUUGCCCUCUUUUUCUCACCUCUCAGCCUUAUUGAUCCAUGGUGCCCUUCCAUUGCCUUUCAUUGGUGCCGAAACCCGGGAGGGGACACCUCCUAAGCCCCCCCAGAGGCUCAGGGGGACUCCCCUCCUGGUCGGAUCAGUCCUCUCCCUCAGUCAGGUCAGGCUUCUCCUCCACGGCCAUCUGUCCAUUUCGUCCGGUUACUUGCUGCCAGGUCGCAGUUGCUGCAGCUACUCCAGUCCAAUUCGGCCGACGCUAGAUCAACUGAGAUGCAAAACCCAUGUUCACAUCAUGAGUGAGUCUUCUAACUCGGACAAUGCAAUCAACAAAUUCUAAGACCAAAUUCCGGUGGCACUGGCUCCAAAGGUGCUGCUGUGUGCCAUCCCAGGGAGAGGCCCCAACUCCAGACAUGGAUUUGCCUUUGCUACCCAUGACAUACCUAUACCAUCAUCAUUGGUGAAAUUAGCAAAUGUCUUCUUCAUGGCAAUGUAAUUCACAAAAUUUCACCUCUAAUAAGGCAUCCUUAUUACACCAAAGGAAGUGCAGCAAGAGGCUUCUGCCCAUGGGACCCACUGAUCUUAUUCCGUGUAUCUCAACACCGAGAAGCAGAUGUUUGAUAAAAAUGGGAUGGACUCUUUUAUUAUUACCAUGAGUAAACUCCUCAAGAUACUGUUGCUUGCCUUUGGGGGUGAGUUGGUCCUAGUGUCAAGGGAGAAAUAAUUAUGAAGAAGUGGAAUCUGAGCAAUAUAACCUUGAUGAUAAGAGAAACUCUAGAUGUUGUGGACUAGAAGGAUUACCAAGCCUAGAUAAAAGGACUGCCAAGCCAAGCCAUUACCACCCAACAGGGGCCAGGAGGACUAGGUCUGAACUCAGGAGAGUCACUGGGUGACUUGUAACUCCCUUACCCAAUAGCUCAGGUCAAUGGAAAACUGCAACAACGCAAUACAAAUGGGAACACCAAAAAUGUGGAUAAUCCGUUAAUGAAAGUUUGAAAUAACCCCUAGGAUAAGAACCCAAUCCAGCUAAGCUGCUGUAAAAGCACAAAGGGAAAAUGAAAAGAAUCCUGGAAACUGGCCAUUGUAAUGAUCAACUCGGGCAUCAUGACCAACUACGGAAUCAGGGAUGUAUGUUGCUCUGCUGUAUGCUAGUUCAUCACUCAUUUUCUCCCUAGCUACCCCCCACUAUCCGGAGAAGACUGUUGUGGCUAAUAUUUGAAGUUUUGGGUACUGACAGCACUCCAUACACAAGGCAGCUUAUGAGGCUUUCUUGUCUCCUGUGUUGAGAACACUUUUUUUUAAUUUGAACAAAAGAUGGACAAGAGAGAUUUUUAGGCGACAAUAGGAAUGAACUGUUCUGGACGCUUUCAAAAUACCAUCCAAAUCCAUCCUCUGGCUUUCUUUAAUCUGCUUUGUACCCAAAGAGGCUGAAGUUGAUGGACUUCCUCAUGGCUCACUUGCCAGCCAUCUUCUUGUUGAUUUAGAUUCAUGGGAAUUGUCGGCAGGAGAUUGGCUUGGGGGAGAGGGUGAAAUCAAGUAACUAUUCUCUGGAUUCUUCCAUGAUGGGUUGCCAAAGGUUAAAUAAGUUUCCCUUCCAAUGUCAUACCUCUUUCCCACCACAACAGCUACUAUCUCUGAGUUCUGGUCAACUUUCCUCCCCUUUAGCCCUUCAGUCCUAAAAGUGGUAAUGACUCCCAACCAUUGGUAGGUUAGGAGUGCUUCAACUAUCCCUUCUUGGUUUCCUGUAACCCUGUUGACACAUUUGUAAGUAGCCCCUUCAUUAAACUUUCCUUAAUUACCCCCA